GACGAACGCUGGCGGCGCGCCUAACACAUGCAAGUCGAACGAGCGAGAGAGAGCUUGCUUUCUCGAGCGAGUGGCGAACGGGUGAGUAACGCGUGAGGAACCUGCCUCAAAGAGGGGGACAACAGUUGGAAACGACUGCUAAUACCGCAUAAGCCCACGGCUCGGCAUCGAGCAGGGGGAAAAGGAGCAAUCCGCUUUGAGAUGGCCUCGCGUCCGAUUAGCUAGUUGGUGAGGUAACGGCCCACCAAGGCGACGAUCGGUAGCCGGACUGAGAGGUUGAACGGCCACAUUGGGACUGAGACACGGCCCAGACUCCUACGGGAGGCAGCAGUGGGGAAUAUUGCACAAUGGGGGAAACCCUGAUGCAGCGACGACGCGUGGAGGAAGAAGGUCUUCGGAUUGUAAACUCCUGUUGUUGGGGAAGAUAAUGACGGUACCCAACAAGGAAGUGACGGCUAACUACGUG
This 466-nucleotide ribosomal RNA is filed under the name uncultured bacterium. RNAcentral's name for it is "partial 16S ribosomal RNA". It matches the Rfam family "Bacterial small subunit ribosomal RNA", at positions 28 to 507 of the family's 1533-position model. The record is from RNAcentral.